AGUGAACGUUGGCGGCGUGGAUUAGGCAUGCAAGUCGAGCGAGAACCGUAGCAAUACGGGGACAGCGGCGAACGGGACAGUAAUGUGUAGGUACCUACCCCUGGGACCGGGAUAGCUGCGGGAAACUGCAGGUAAUACCGGAUAACGUCUCAGGACCAAAGGUGUGAUUCCACCUGGGGAGGGGCCUGCAUCCUAUUAGCUAGUUGGUGAGGUAACGGCUCACCAAGGCAACGAUGGGUAGCGGGUGUGAGAGCACGACCCGCGUCAUUGGGACUGAGAUACUGCCCAGACACCUACGGGUGGCUG
This 306-nucleotide ribosomal RNA is filed under the name uncultured Planctomycetota bacterium. Its description in RNAcentral is "bacterial SSU rRNA". It matches the Rfam family "Bacterial small subunit ribosomal RNA", at positions 29 to 351 of the family's 1533-position model. Lineage: Bacteria; Pseudomonadati; Planctomycetota. The record is from RNAcentral.